GCGGGUAUGGCGAAAUUGGCAGACGCACCAGAUUUAGGUUCUGGCGCCGAGAGGCGUGGGGGUUCAAGUCCCUCUACCCGCA
Molecule: transfer RNA, 82 nt
Filed under: Candidatus Aquiluna sp. UB-MaderosW2red
Lineage: Bacteria; Bacillati; Actinomycetota; Actinomycetes; Micrococcales; Microbacteriaceae
Rfam family: tRNA
About the family: Transfer RNA (tRNA) molecules are approximately 80 nucleotides in length. Their secondary structure includes four short double-helical elements and three loops (D, anti-codon, and T loops). Further hydrogen bonds mediate the characteristic L-shaped molecular structure. tRNAs have two regions of fundamental functional importance: the anti-codon, which is responsible for specific mRNA codon recognition, and the 3' end, to which the tRNAs corresponding amino acid is attached (by aminoacyl-tRNA synthetases). tRNAs cope with the degeneracy of the genetic code in two manners: having more than one tRNA (with a specific anti-codon) for a particular amino acid; and 'wobble' base-pairing, i.e. permitting non-standard base-pairing at the 3rd anti-codon position.
Source: Rfam by way of RNAcentral